Molecule: long non-coding RNA, 507 nt
Organism: Brassica napus (rape)
Lineage: Eukaryota; Viridiplantae; Streptophyta; Magnoliopsida; Brassicales; Brassicaceae
Exons: 3
Source: RefSeq, a predicted model, not a curated record
CUUUCAUGUACUAAUGUUUUUUGCAUAUGUAUAUUUAUAUUUAUGCUAUUUUGGGUAUAUGCUUUUAGGAGGGAUCAGACCUUUACGAUGAGCUUGUUAAAGCUAUACAGGAAAAAUGGUUGGCCGUGACCAUUUGAUUUUCGGAAUAGCUCUGCAUUUGAGAUAAUGACCGAGGAGCUUGUGGAUCUGUUCAAACACAAAGUAAUGCUAAAAAGCUACCGUAGGAGGGGCCAGACUUGUUUCUGAUUGAAAGCAACGACGCAGAAGAAAUAAGUCUUGAAGGUGAUCGAUCUGUGUUACAAAGACAACUCGAUGCCUACAGUCAAGCUUGCGAUGACCAACAGACACCAGGAGCAAAGAGACACGGUCAACCGGUUUGCUUUGGUUUUCUUGUUCGUUAGGUUUAGCCUUUUGGUUUGGUUAACCAGUUUAUUAUUUAUAAACCAUUUUAAUUUGUAAACCAUUUUGAAACGUAUUAUUAUAAAUAAAAUAAUUUCAUUUACUUUC